CUUAAAAGUCCGCCGCCUUAAACACCACAAACCCGCCCAACAAAACCCGCUAAACCAUUCGCCAUGCUAAGUAUAGGAGAUAGAACUGCACNCCGCGCGCAAUAGCCAACAGUACCACAUGGGAACACUGAAAGACAAUUAACCACUCAAGCGUAAAAAAGCAGGGAUGAACCCCCGUACCUCUUGCAUCAUGGUCUAACAAGCCCUGCCCAGAUAAAGUGCACUAUAACCUGCCCCCCCGAACCCAGACGAGCUACCCCGGGCCAAUCAAUAAUGGAUUUACCCCAUCUCUGUGGCAAAAGAGUGGAACCAGCCCCGGGUAGUGGUGAAACGCCUAUCGAGCCUGGUGAUAGCUGGUUGCUCAUUAAACGAAUAUAAGUUCGACUCUAGUCACCCAUUCCCGCCACCACUACGCCCUUGUAAACAACUAGAAGCUACACAGUUAGGGAACAGCCUAACUGUGCCCGGACACAGCCCAACUCGCUGGGUCAGCCCAAUCUAACACCGCCCCGUAGGCCUCCAAGCAGCCAGCCCUAAAAAUCGCGUCAAAGCAAAACACACAAAAAUUUCCUACGAUUCCCCAAACCCUCCUACAAAACUGAGCCCCCCUAGCCAAACCUAGAGGAGAUAAUGUUAGAACUAGUAAUAAGAGGCCCCCUCUCUCCCCGCACUGCCUUUCGCCGGCACGGAUAACCCACCGGCAAUUACCAACCACACCCCUCACAACACUAACAAACUGUCACCCCAACACAGGCGUGCCUAAAAGAGCCGGCAAACCGCCAUAGAAGGAACUCGGCUAAAAUGCCCCACCUGUUUACCAAAAACAUGGCCUUUAGCAUACCAAGUAUUAAAGGUCCCGCCUGCCCAGUGAACCACUUUUAAACGGCCGCGGUAUUCUAACCGUGCAAAGGUAGCGUAAUCACUUGCCCUUUAAAUAGGGGCUUGUAUGAACGGCUAAAUGAGGGCCUAACUGUCUCCUAUGGCAAGCCAAUGAAACUGCUCUCUCAGUACAAAAGCUGAGAUGUGCCCACAAGACGAGAAGACCCUGUGGAGCUUUUAAACACCACACUAACCCCCCUACUCAAUCAUAGUGCAAACUUUAAGUUGGGGCGACUGCGGAGCAAAACAUAACCUCCAUGUAACAGGACCAUCGUCCAUUACAGGCCCACAAGCCAAAAUUAUAACCAACCACUUGACCCAGCAUUGCUGACCAACGGCCCAAGUUACCCCAGGGAUAACAGCGCCAUCCUCCCCAAGAGUCCCUAUCGCCAGGAGGGUUUACGACCUCGAUGUUGGAUCAGGGCACCCAGGUA
Molecule: ribosomal RNA, 1313 nt
Filed under: Phyllodactylus darwini (Darwin's leaf-toed gecko)
Lineage: Eukaryota; Metazoa; Chordata; Lepidosauria; Squamata; Phyllodactylidae
Description: partial 16S ribosomal RNA
Rfam family: Bacterial large subunit ribosomal RNA
Source: RNAcentral